Meleagris gallopavo (turkey) is the source of this 1301-nucleotide non-coding RNA. The record is from RefSeq and is a predicted model, not a curated record. NCBI's taxonomy places the organism in Eukaryota, Metazoa, Chordata, Aves, Galliformes, Phasianidae.
GUUCUGAUGUCACAGUCUGAUACUCACUAUAAGCUGAAAUUCAUCACCUUCAACCCAAUUGCGUACCACAAUAUGAUCUGCCAAAAGAAAUGGCUAAUAACUCGGAGCAUGCGCUCAGACAGAUGCAAUCUAAAUAGGGAGGCAAAUGAUGCGCUGAACGUCGAUGGAGAAUACAGGAAAAUAAAGAAGAAUGAAAUCAGACUAAGCCUGUGACUUUACCACUGCGGAAAGGAGCACUAUGAUGCACAGAAUUACCUGCAAAUGGCAUGGCUCCUCCAAACCUGCCAUUGCAUUUGGUGGGUUUAUACCUGUUCAGCUGUAGAAAGAGAUACCUGUAGUUGCUUAAACCCGGGGAAGUUGGGACUGUUAGUUACAACUUUAGUCAUUUAUUGUGCUGCUGCCUGGGAUAGAUUUGAAACCAUUCCGGGACUGAAUGGCUGGAGUUUCAAUUUCUGUCAAUGUCACUCCACACAUGGAUACUUCACUUCAAAAAACCUCAGAAAUCAGCAAGAGAAGGAGGGAAGACAAAAAGGUGAUGGCAGCUGCCUGACUGUAGACUGACUGUGGGUGAACGCAGUGAAAACAGUCACCCUAUGGUGCUAUGAAUGCAGCCAUCAGCACAACUUCAAAGCCAUGCUUAGCACUUAGCACUCGGAACCUUCACUCAGAGAGUCUUGUAGGGGCCAAAAUAAUUUUGCAGGUAGGGAAACAUCUGAGACUUGGGCAAAGCAGAGUUACGUGGGCACGAAGGAUAAUCUCAUUUUUAAGAUUCAGCCCCCUAAAUAACAUGUGACACUACACUGUGGCUGGAGCACCAGCUGGAUCAUCUCCAGGAACUAAAGAUGUCUGGUCUGGUAGAGGGCCAAGCAAACCUUCCACAGGCAAAAGAGCAAGGUCUAAUCUUCAUGUUAUGCUUUUGUUUAUUUAUUUAUUUAUUUUCCUUUUUCUUUCCCCAGGGAAAAUCUUAAGGUGAUGAGGCAUAACUUAAAAACUUGACUAUUUUUAAGCUUUUUGGAGAGCUUGAUAGUCAUGAUGUAGCCUAGGGAGAUUCACACGUUUCAACAGGCUGGUUGUUUUUUAUCUUCCUAAGCUUUCUGCACUUUUGAUGUUUACUUCUUUGGAGUUUCUUGUAUCUGGCCAAGAUGCAUUUGGUGCAAGAACAGGGCAAAGAGGCACCAAAAGUUGUGCGGAAUUUCCCCAGUCUUUUGGUCACUGCACAAACUUCCUUGUGGCUCUCUGCCAACUGUGCAUUUUUGACAAUCUUGUCAUUUGUUCUGCUAGGAAAAAGAGCCCUCAGAAUG